Molecule: ribosomal RNA, 419 nt
Filed under: bacterium
Lineage: Bacteria
Description: partial 16S ribosomal RNA
Rfam family: Bacterial small subunit ribosomal RNA
Source: RNAcentral
UGGGGGAUAUUGCACAAUGGGCGAAAGCCUGAUGCAGCGACGCCGCGUGGGGGAUGAAGGCCUUCGGGUUGUAAACUUCUUUUGCUCUGAACAAGGCAUGCUAAUGGGUGUGUUGAGUGUAGGGGUUGAUUAGCGCCGGCUAACUACGUGCCAGCAGCCGCGGUAAUACGUAGGGCGCGAGCGUUGUCCGGAAUUAUUGGGCGUAAAGGGCUUGUAGGUGGCUGUUUGCGUCUGUCGUGAAAGCUCAUGGCUUAACUGUGGGUUUGCGGUGGGUACGGGCUGGCUUGAGUGCAGUAGGGGAGGCUGGAAUUCCUGGUGUAGCGGUGGAAUGCGCAGAUAUCAGGAGGAAUACCGGUGGCGAAGGCGGGUCUCUGGGCUGUUACUGACACUGAGGAGCGAAAGCAUGGGGAGCGAACAGG